This 253-nucleotide ribosomal RNA is filed under the name uncultured bacterium. RNAcentral's name for it is "partial 16S ribosomal RNA". It matches the Rfam family "Bacterial small subunit ribosomal RNA", at positions 524 to 776 of the family's 1533-position model. The record is from RNAcentral.
UACGGAGGGUGCAAGCGUUAUCCGGAUUCACUGGGUUUAAAGGGUGCGUAGGAGGGCAGGUAAGUCAGUGGUGAAAUCUCCAAGCUUAACUUGGAAACUGCCGUUGAUACUAUCUGUCUUGAAUACCGUGGAGGUGAGCGGAAUAUGUCAUGUAGCGGUGAAAUGCUUAGAUAUGACAUAGAACACCAAUUGCGAAGGCAGCUGGCUACACGAAUAUUGACACUGAUGCACGAAAGCGUGGGGAUCAAACAGG